Molecule: ribosomal RNA, 443 nt
Filed under: uncultured bacterium
Lineage: Bacteria
Description: partial 16S ribosomal RNA
Rfam family: Bacterial small subunit ribosomal RNA
Source: RNAcentral
CCUACGGGAGGCAGCAGUGGGGAAUAUUGGGCAAUGGGCGCAAGCCUGACCCAGCAACGCCGCGUGAAGGAAGAAGGCUUUCGGGUUGUAAACUUCUUUUGUCAGGGACGAAGCAAGUGACGGUACCUGACGAAUAAGCCACGGCUAACUACGUGCCAGCAGCCGCGGCAAUACGUAGGUGGCAAGCGUUAUCCGGAUUUACUGGGGGUAAAGGGCGUGUAGGCGGGACUGCAAGUCAGAUGUGAAAACCACGGGCUCAAACUGUGGCCUGCAUUUGAAACUGUAGUUCUUGAGUACUGGAGAGGGAGGCGGAAUGCCUAGGGGAGCGGGGAAAUGGGUAGAUAUUAGGAGGAACAACAGGGGCGAAGGCGGGACGCUGGACAGCAACUGACGCUGAGGCGCGAAAGCGGGGGGAGCAAACAGGAUUAGAUACCCCAGUAGUC